AGUGCCGGAAAAAUUUGUCGAAAUCCGAUUCUUCCUCUUUUAACACCCUCUACAACUGUCAUCUACCUUUUCUAUGGCAUAAAUUCUUUAAAAUACUAGGUAGGGACGGGUAUUUACCUUUUUCUUCUUGUGAAACUUGGGUCCUUGCAUAGAAGAGAAGGAGACCUACGUUUUUCCCUUCAGCUGGAAGUGCAACCGGGAUCCCUUUCCUCCUUGAAUCCCCUUCCUCUUCUUCUUUCUUCUUCUUCUUCUUCUCUUUUUCUUUUUUUUU
This 271-nucleotide long non-coding RNA is filed under the name Phoenix dactylifera (date palm). RNAcentral's name for it is "long non-coding RNA (PDAC_LNC013654)". The record is from RNAcentral. Lineage: Eukaryota; Viridiplantae; Streptophyta; Magnoliopsida; Arecales; Arecaceae.